Molecule: ribosomal RNA, 1286 nt
Filed under: metagenome
Description: bacterial SSU rRNA
Rfam family: Bacterial small subunit ribosomal RNA
Source: RNAcentral
AGCUAGUUGGUGAGGUAAAGGCUCACCAAGGCGACGAUCUGUAGCGGGUCUGAGAGGAUGAUCCGCCACACUGGAACUGGGACACGGUCCAGACUCCUACGGGAGGCAGCAGUGGGGAAUUUUGGACAAUGGGGGCAACCCUGAUCCAGCCAUGCCGCGUGAGUGAAGAAGGCCUUCGGGUUGUAAAGCUCUUUCGGCCGGGAAGAAAUCGCAUGGGUUAAUACCCUGCGCGGAUGACGGUACCGGCAUAAGAAGCACCGGCUAACUACGUGCCAGCAGCCGCGGUAAUACGUAGGGUGCGAGCGUUAAUCGGAAUUACUGGGCGUAAAGCGUGCGCAGGCGGUUUUGUAAGACAGGCGUGAAAUCCCCGGGCUCAACCCGGGAACUGCGCUUGUGACUGCAAGGCUAGAGUACGGCAGAGGGGGGUGGAAUUCCACGUGUAGCAGUGAAAUGCGUAGAGAUGUGGAGGAACACCAAUGGCGAAGGCAGCCCCCUGGGUCGAUACUGACGCUCAUGCACGAAAGCGUGGGUAGCAAACAGGAUUAGAUACCCUGGUAGUCCACGCCCUAAACGAUGUCGACUAGGUGUUGGGUGGGUAAAACCAUUUAGUACCGGAGCUAACGCGUGAAGUUGACCGCCUGGGGAGUACGGCCGCAAGGUUAAAACUCAAAGGAAUUGACGGGGACCCGCACAAGCGGUGGAUGAUGUGGAUUAAUUCGAUGCAACGCGAAAAACCUUACCUACCCUUGACAUGUCCAGGAGCCUGAAGAGAUUUGGGUGUGCCCGAAAGGGAACUGGAACACAGGUGCUGCAUGGCUGUCGUCAGCUCGUGUCGUGAGAUGUUGGGUUAAGUCCCGCAACGAGCGCAACCCUUGUCGUUAAUUGCCAUCAUUUAGUUGGGCACUUUAACGAGACUGCCGGUGACAAACCGGAGGAAGGUGGGGAUGACGUCAAGUCCUCAUGGCCCUUAUGGGUAGGGCUUCACACGUCAUACAAUGGUCGGUACAAAGGGUCGCCAACCCGCGAGGGGGAGCCAAUCCCAGAAAGCCGAUCGUAGUCCGGAUCGUAGGCUGCAACUCGCCUGCGUGAAGUCGGAAUCGCUAGUAAUCGUGGAUCAGCAUGUCACGGUGAAUACGUUCCCGGGUCUUGUACACACCGCUCGUCACACCAUGGGAGCGGGUUCCGCCAGAAGUAGGUAGCCUAACCGCAAGGGGGGCGCUUACCACGGCGGGGUUCGUGACUGGGGUGAAGUCGUAACAAGGUAGCCGUAGGGGAACCUGCGGCUG